Molecule: ribosomal RNA, 253 nt
Filed under: uncultured bacterium
Lineage: Bacteria
Description: partial 16S ribosomal RNA
Rfam family: Bacterial small subunit ribosomal RNA
Source: RNAcentral
UACGGAGGAUGCAAGCGUUAUCCGGAAUGAUUGGGCGUAAAGCGUCCGCAGGUGGCUAUGUAAGUCUGCUGUUAAAGAGUGAGGCUCAACCUCAUAAGAGCAGUGGAAACUACAUGGCUAGAGUGCGUUCGGGGCAGAGGGAAUUCCUGGUGUAGCGGUGAAAUGCGUAGAGAUCAGGAAGAACACCGGUGGCGAAAGCGGUUCUCUGGGACGGUACUGACGCUGAGACGCGAAAGCGUGGGGAGCGAACAGG